GACGAACGCUGGCGGCGUGCUUAACACAUGCAAGUCGAACGGAAAGGCCCUGCUUUUGUGGGGUGCUCGAGUGGCGAACGGGUGAGUAACACGUGAGUAACCUGCCCUUGACUUUGGGAUAACUUCAGGAAACUGGGGCUAAUACCGGAUAGGAGCUCCUGCUGCAUGGUGGGGGUUGGAAAGUUUCGGCGGUUGGGGAUGGACUCGCGGCUUAUCAGCUUGUUGGUGGGGUAGUGGCUUACCAAGGCUUUGACGGGUAGCCGGCCUGAGAGGGUGACCGGCCACCAUGGGACUGCGAGACGGCGCAGACUGCUACGUGAGGCAGCAGUCGGGAAUAUUGCACAAUGGGCGGAAGCCUGAUGCAGCAACGCCGCGUGCGGGAUGACGGGCUUCGGGUUGUAAACCGCUUUCGCCUGUGAUGAAGCGUGAGUGACGGUAAUGGGUAAAGAAGCACCGGCUAACUACGUG
This 468-nucleotide ribosomal RNA is filed under the name uncultured bacterium. Its description in RNAcentral is "partial 16S ribosomal RNA". It matches the Rfam family "Bacterial small subunit ribosomal RNA", at positions 28 to 507 of the family's 1533-position model. The record is from RNAcentral.